RNAcentral lists this long non-coding RNA (212 nucleotides) under Polistes fuscatus (common paper wasp). Its description in RNAcentral is "uncharacterized LOC122524874". Lineage: Eukaryota; Metazoa; Arthropoda; Insecta; Hymenoptera; Vespidae. The record is from RNAcentral.
GAUUAUACGAAAUUGAUAAAAGAAAUUGUUGAUGGAGAAACGACCGAGUCCGUUCCCCAUGUGAUUAUGCAUUUAAUAAUUAAUUUAUUCGAAUAGUUUGUUUGUUUCGUGCCAGAAGCUAUGCAACACUCCAUAUCUCGUCAAUAAUUUCGCUAGCAAGCGCCAUCUAUCAAUGAACGGUAAUGAAGACCAAAAUUUAGCUCACUUCGAUC